Molecule: ribosomal RNA, 555 nt
Filed under: Paenibacillus sp. 598
Lineage: Bacteria; Bacillati; Bacillota; Bacilli; Caryophanales; Paenibacillaceae
Description: bacterial SSU rRNA
Rfam family: Bacterial small subunit ribosomal RNA
Source: RNAcentral
GGGAGUACGGUCGCAAGACUAAACUCAAAGGAAUUGACGGGGACCCGCACAAGCAGUGGAGUAUGUGGUUUAAUUCGAAGCAACGCGAAGAACCUUACCAGGUCUUGACAUCUGAUGACCGGGCAGAGAUGUGUCUUUCCUUCGGGACAUUCAAGACAGGUGGUGCAUGGUUGUCGUCAGCUCGUGUCGUGAGAUGUUGGGUUAAGUCCCGCAACGAGCGCAACCCUUAACUUUAGUUGCCAGCAGGUAAGGCUGGGCACUCUAGAGUGACUGCCGGUGACAAACCGGAGGAAGGUGGGGAUGACGUCAAAUCAUCAUGCCCCUUAUGACCUGGGCUACACACGUACUACAAUGGCCGGUACAACGGGAAGCGAAGGAGCGAUCUGGAGCGAAUCCUAGAAAAGCCGGUCUCAGUUCGGAUUGCAGGCUGCAACUCGCCUGCAUGAAGUCGGAAUUGCUAGUAAUCGCGGAUCAGCAUGCCGCGGUGAAUACGUUCCCGGGUCUUGUACACACCGCCCGUCACACCACGAGAGUUUACAACACCCGAAGUCGGUA